RNAcentral lists this long non-coding RNA (369 nucleotides) under Elaeis guineensis (African oil palm). RNAcentral's name for it is "long non-coding RNA (EGUI_LNC061793)". Lineage: Eukaryota; Viridiplantae; Streptophyta; Magnoliopsida; Arecales; Arecaceae. The record is from RNAcentral.
ACCAAAUCCAAUUUGGCUCAAAUUGGUUCUAAAUUAGCCCAAAUCGGAACCCGAUUCGAAUUCGAUUCGAAUCUAAAUGCUAGGGUUUGCAACAUGUGCUAGCAUGUUCAACUUGCAAACAUGGUUUAAUCAAAUUAAACCCAUGAUCAAUUCUCUUUGUGUGUGACCCAUUGAGUUCCAUAUCUAGCCAGCAGUGAGUCCAGGUACAAUUUAAACUAAUUUGGUUAGAACACAAUCUAGCCGAUUUAGGUCAAAUCAAGCUGAACCAUUUUGAUCAAUCAGAACAGCUUUUAAUUAAUGAUCGAAUUAAACUCUUUAAUUUGAUCAAACUUACAAGACAUGAUUGACGUCUAGCAACGUAUCAUGUCU